Molecule: ribosomal RNA, 78 nt
Filed under: Bacillus anthracis (anthrax bacterium)
Lineage: Bacteria; Bacillati; Bacillota; Bacilli; Caryophanales; Bacillaceae
Description: partial 16S ribosomal RNA
Rfam family: Bacterial small subunit ribosomal RNA
Source: RNAcentral
UUUAUUGGAGAGUUUGAUCCUGGCUCAGGAUGAACGCUGGCGGCGUGCCUAAUACAUGCAAGUCGAGCGAAUGGAUUA